UACACAGUUAAUGGAUCUGUAAUCAAACAGCCAAUGUGUUUACUGGCACUGUGUAAAACACGUCGUCCUCUAAUGACAGGAGACUGGAUUUGAUUUUAGGUUUACUGUGGAUACUAACAUACAGUGAAGUUCUGGAUUGUUUCCUGUUACCUGACUACAAUUUAUUUUCCUUUACAUCAUCAAAGGUUGCUGUGGCUGAGCCAGAAGCUGCAGAGGAAGCUGUAGAAGAAGAAGUUCCUGUUGAAGAGGCUGCAGAAGAAGAAGCUCCUGUUGAAGAGGCUGCAGAAGAAGAAGCAGUUCCUGUAGAGGAAGAAGCUCCUGUAGAGGAGGAAGCUGAAGAGGAAGAAGCUCCAGCAGAGGAGGAAGCUGUAGAGGAAGAAGCUCCAGCAGAGGAGGAAGCUGUAGAGGAAGAAGCUCCAGCAGAGGAGGAAGCUGCAGAGGAGGAAGCUGUAGAGGAAGAAGCUCCAGCAGAGGAGGAAGCUGUAGAGGAAGAAGCUCCCGCAGAGGUGGAAGCUGUAGAGGAAGAAGCUCCCGCAGAGGAGGAAGCUGUAGAGGAAGAAGCUCCUGCAGAAGAGGAAACUGUAGAGGAGGAAGCUCCAACAGAAGAGGAAGCUGUAGAGGAAGAAACUCUUGCAGAGGAAGAAGUUCUUGCUGAGGAGGAAGUAACACCUGAGGAAGAAGCUCCUGUCGAGGAAGUCUCAGAAGAAGCAGUCACAGAAACAGAAGCACAGGAGGAAGAGGAGGCAGCAGAGGAAGAAGCAGAGUAUGAGGAGACAGAGGAGGAGAUUCAGGACGAGCCCACAGAAACGUAGACUUUGGCGGCGUCUUUGCUGACUGAGCAGGAAAUUACCGACGAGGUGUCGGCGCCGUCUGAGCGUGGCUGGAAGAAAAACAUCACCUCGCCACAACGGCUGCUGCCUCGUUUUUGUGUGUUUGUGCGUCUGUGUGUGUGUGUGUGUGUGUGUGCCUCCAUGUGUGUGUGUGUGAGAGGUUGAAAACAGUUUUUUUCCCUGUUCAAAUCCCUAUUAUGACUGUGUGUGUUUGUGCAUCUGUCUGUCUGUGUGUCCGGAUCAUGUGAAGUCUGUCUGUCUGUGAUCAUCACGCCAAUCUUAAUGUAAAACUGUGUCGUAGCUAAAGGAGGAGUGUGUGAGACGCACUGCAGAGUGUGUCCAUCCCCUCCCUCCCUCUGUUGAACCCCAUCUGAUCCAAUCUGCCACUCCUCUGCUUUUAAACAAACAGUUAAAGGCAGUUCAACAGUGUCACGAAGGGCUGCUGUCCCGCAUGUGUUAGACGCCCGCUUCUGUCUUCAGAUCCAGGUGUGACAGAGUGGGACGGUGGUCGCCCAGUUUCAGGAUUUAAUCUCAUUCUGUCCGUUCGUGUCACUGUAAACACACUUUUCAGUUUAAAAAAUGUGUUCUCAUCUCUGGUCCUAAAGGGCUGCUGUUCUGCCUGAUGUCUGUAAACAAGUCGGAGGCUCUUCAGGAUCUGAAUUUCAGCUUCCUGACUUCAAACUGUGACGUAAACGAGUACUUUCACCUCAUGUUUGUUCAUCCUGUGUGGAUCUAAGGCUGUGUUUUCACUCUGGACCAACACAACAUUUCAACAACUCAGUGAAUUAGUUUGUUUUUGGAUCUUAAACUUUCAUUUUUCUAAAGUUUCUUUCAUCCCAAAUCUUCAGUGAGAACACAGCCUCACACAUGACUCCAUAAAUGUCACCUAUAACAUUUAAUUAACAUAGAUUUUAGGCCUAAAAAACAUUUUUACCUCAUUUUUGUUUUCUUUUAUUCGCCCAAGGCUGCGUUCACACUUCAGACCAACAAAACAUUUCAACAUCCCUGUAUUUAAGCCACUGAUAGGACCUUAGUUGAUGUUUUUAACCCCUAGAUCUGAACAGUUUUGUCUCCGUGAAGCUUCUGAGUAUGAACGCAGCCUUAAACAUGGCCCCCACACCUCUCACACUGACCAUUUAAAGAAAUACCAGCUCUGUUAUUUUUAUUUUUUUUUUUUUUUAGAAAGUGUUGAAUUAUCCUUCGGUGUUGUGACACGCCGACUCCUCAGAGGAGGUCGCGACCUUUUCAUAGCGACACUAACCAGUCUUUUUUACUGCUGGACUUUUUCUGUAGCGGUGAAGUUUUUCAGCUUCGGUGUUUUUAAAGGACAUAUUUUUUAGAAAGCACGUCAGGAAGAAAACAGAAAGCCAUGAGCUCGUUGCGUAGCUGAGCCUGUCGAUGUGACGCAGAAACACUAAACCUUCGGUUAGCGCAGCAAUAAGUAGGGACGCCUGCCAGGCUCCCGUGUGUUCUCUGUCCUGUGGACUCCGAUUGUUGUGACACUUUCCCAUUUGUUCAUGGAGCUGCAAUAAAAGGUUUGGGACAACACA
Gouania willdenowi (blunt-snouted clingfish) is the source of this 2380-nucleotide long non-coding RNA. The record is from Ensembl. Lineage: Eukaryota; Metazoa; Chordata; Actinopteri; Blenniiformes; Gobiesocidae.